RNAcentral lists this ribosomal RNA (908 nucleotides) under Cladosporium varians. Its description in RNAcentral is "LSU rRNA". It matches the Rfam family "Eukaryotic large subunit ribosomal RNA", at positions 35 to 967 of the family's 3401-position model. The record is from RNAcentral. Lineage: Eukaryota; Fungi; Ascomycota; Dothideomycetes; Cladosporiales; Cladosporiaceae.
UUAGCAUAUCAAUAAGCGGAGGAAAAGAAACCAACAGGGAUUGCUCUAGUAACGGCGAGUGAAGCAGCAAUAGCUCAAAUUUGAAAUCUGGCGUCUUCGACGUCCGAGUUGUAAUUUGUAGAGGAUGCUUCUGAGUAACCACCGACCUAAGUUCCUUGGAACAGGACGUCAUAGAGGGUGAGAAUCCCGUAUGCGGUCGGAAAGGUGCUCUAUACGUAGCUCCUUCGACGAGUCGAGUUGUUUGGGAAUGCAGCUCUAAAUGGGAGGUAAAUUUCUUCUAAAGCUAAAUAUUGGCCAGAGACCGAUAGCGCACAAGUAGAGUGAUCGAAAGAUGAAAAGCACUUUGGAAAAGAGAGUUAAAAAGCACGUGAAAUUGUUAAAAGGGAAGGGAUUGCAACCAGACUUGCUCGCGGUGUUCCGCCGGUCUUCUGACCGGUCUACUCGCCGCGUUGCAGGCCAGCAUCGUCUGGUGCCGCUGGAUAAGACUUGAGGAAUGUAGCUCCCUCGGGAGUGUUAUAGCCUCUUGUGAUGCAGCGAGCGCCGGGCGAGGUCCGCGCUUCGGCUAGGAUGCUGGCGUAAUGGUCGUAAUCCGCCCGUCUUGAAACACGGACCAAGGAGUCUAACAUCUAUGCGAGUGUUCGGGUGUCAAACCCCUACGCGUAAUGAAAGUGAACGGAGGUGAGAACCGCAAGGUGCAUCAUCGACCGAUCCUGAUGUCUUCGGAUGGAUUUGAGUAAGAGCAUAGCUGUUGGGACCCGAAAGAUGGUGAACUAUGCCUGAAUAGGGUGAAGCCAGAGGAAACUCUGGUGGAGGCUCGCAGCGGUUCCUGACGUGCAAAUCGAUCGUCAAAUUUGGGUAUAGGGGCGAAAGACUAAUCGAACCAUCUAGUAGCUGGUUCCUGCCGAAGU